AACGAACGCUGGCGGCAUGCCUAACACAUGCAAGUCGAACGAGACCUUCGGGUCUAGUGGCGCACGGGUGCGUAACGCGUGGGAACCUGCCCUUAGGUUCGGAAUAACUCCCCGAAAGGGGUGCUAAUACCGGAUAAUGUCUUCGGACCAAAGAUUUAUCGCCUUUGGAUGGGCCCGCGUUGGAUUAGCUAGUUGGUAGGGUAAAAGCCAACCAAGGCGACGAUCCAUAGCUGGUCUGAGAGGAUGAUCAGCCACACUGGGACUGAGACACAGCCCAGACUCCUACGGGAGGCAGCAGUGGGGAAUAUUGGACAAUGGGCGAAAGCCUGAUCCAGCAAUGCCGCGUGAGUGAUGAAGGCCUUAGGGUUGUAAAGCUCUUUUACCCGGGAUGAUAAUGACAGUACCGGGAGAAUAAGCUCCGGCUAACUCCGUG
This 433-nucleotide ribosomal RNA is filed under the name uncultured bacterium. RNAcentral's name for it is "partial 16S ribosomal RNA". It matches the Rfam family "Bacterial small subunit ribosomal RNA", at positions 29 to 507 of the family's 1533-position model. The record is from RNAcentral.